GAUGAAGAACGCAGCGAAAUGCGAUACGUAAUGUGAAUUGCAGAAUUCAGUGAAUCAUCGAAUCUUUGAACGCAUAUUGCGCUCUCUGGUAUUCCGGAGAGCAUGCUUGUUUGAGUAUCAGUAAACACCUCAACUUCCAUAUCUUUUUUGAAAUGGGAGUUGGACUUGAGUGAUCCCAACGCUUUUCCUCACCGAAAAGUGGCGGGUUACUUGAAAUGCAGGUGCAGCUGGACUUUUCUCUGAGCUAUAAGCAUAUCUAUUUAGUCUGCCUAAAAAACAGAUUAUUACCUUUGCUGCAGCUAACAUAAAGGAGAUUAGUUCUUGUGCUGACUGAUGCAGGAUUCACAAAGACGGCUUCGGCCGACUUUGUAAACUCGAUCUCAAAUCAAGUAAGACUACCCGCUGAACUUAAGCAUAUCAAUAAGCGGCGGA
Molecule: unclassified non-coding RNA, 432 nt
Filed under: soil metagenome
Description: partial contains 5.8S ribosomal RNA, internal transcribed spacer 2, and large subunit ribosomal RNA
Rfam family: 5.8S ribosomal RNA (bases 1-120)
Source: RNAcentral